RNAcentral lists this long non-coding RNA (265 nucleotides) under Gossypium raimondii (Peruvian cotton). Its description in RNAcentral is "long non-coding RNA (GRAI_LNC000707)". Lineage: Eukaryota; Viridiplantae; Streptophyta; Magnoliopsida; Malvales; Malvaceae. The record is from RNAcentral.
UGUGGAUACUAUGUUUGGACUUGCCUUCUCUCUUCUUGCAGGAGGGAUAUUUAUAGACAAUGAAAAGUUUGAAUGAACCCUUUAUUCCAUGAUUAUUUUUCGACUUUUAGAGCUUAUGAAAUUGAGAAGUUAGAAAUAUUAAUGAGAUUAAAUAUUGUUUUUUUUUUAUUUUUCCCAUAAAUGCAUAUAGAACAGUAUGAGGUGCUUAUGUGUAAGAGCAUAGAAUAUUUAAAUAAUAAAGAAUAUUCGAUUGAGCUUUAGUUCG